RNAcentral lists this ribosomal RNA (540 nucleotides) under Escherichia coli O157. RNAcentral describes it as "bacterial SSU rRNA". It matches the Rfam family "Bacterial small subunit ribosomal RNA", at positions 1003 to 1533 of the family's 1533-position model. Lineage: Bacteria; Pseudomonadati; Pseudomonadota; Gammaproteobacteria; Enterobacterales; Enterobacteriaceae. The record is from RNAcentral.
GAGAUGAGAAUGUGCCUUCGGGAACCGUGAGACAGGUGCUGCAUGGCUGUCGUCAGCUCGUGUUGUGAAAUGUUGGGUUAAGUCCCGCAACGAGCGCAACCCUUAUCCUUUGUUGCCAGCGGUCCGGCCGGGAACUCAAAGGAGACUGCCAGUGAUAAACUGGAGGAAGGUGGGGAUGACGUCAAGUCAUCAUGGCCCUUACGACCAGGGCUACACACGUGCUACAAUGGCGCAUACAAAGAGAAGCGACCUCGCGAGAGCAAGCGGACCUCAUAAAGUGCGUCGUAGUCCGGAUUGGAGUAUGCAACUCGACUCCAUGAAGUCGGAAUCGCUAGUAAUCGUGGAUCAGAAUGCCACGGUGAAUACGUUCCCGGGCCUUGUACACACCGCCCGUCACACCAUGGGAGUGGGUUGCAAAAGAAGUAGGUAGCUUAACCUUCGGGAGGGCGCUUACCACUUUGUGAUUCAUGACUGGGGUGAAGUCGUAACAAGGUAACCGUAGGGGAACCUGCGGUUGGAUCACCUCCUUACCUUAAAGAA